Molecule: long non-coding RNA, 1747 nt
Organism: Daphnia magna
Lineage: Eukaryota; Metazoa; Arthropoda; Branchiopoda; Diplostraca; Daphniidae
Exons: 7
Source: RefSeq, a predicted model, not a curated record
AGAACUUUUAAAACACUGCAUAGCUUUUAUUAACAAUAGUUUACUUUUACAACUAUCAAAAUCUUGUUAACUUUUUAAAGGAGAACAAAGUUCAUUUUUUAAGAUUUCCGGUAUUCAACUUCUGGUUUUACUUUCGGUUUUAAAAUGCCAAAUAACUUCUGAUUUGUAAGUCUAUCAGAAAAAAGAUUCAAAUUUUCGUGAUCCUCGUCAAAUUUGGGAUCGACUGCAGGUGUCAGCUCAGCUCAAAAUACCAGAAAAUCGUCAAAAAUCGCAAAUUUUCCGGAACUAGUUCAUGAAAAAUCGCGAUUUUUGUCAAAUCCGACUUUUGGUUAAAAACACGUCAUUCCAACCCCAAAUUUGAUAAGGAUCAUGAAAAUUGUACUCGUUUUGUUGUGGAAUCACUAUUUCCGGAGAUAUUUGCUACUUCCGGUUACUUCCGGUAAAUUUUGUGACAAUUUGCAAAAAGUAAAAAAUGAGCUGUAUUGUUGUAACAAUUUCAAAUACUUUUCUUGCAUGCGUUAGGGUGGUGCAGCUAUUAUUCUGUGUUUUUUUCGCUAUCACAGUACAGGCUGACCCUACGAGCAACGACAGUUUUAGCUACAAAUGUUUUAGCACUCCGUCUUGCAACUAGUAGUUGAUAUUCUCAGUUUUUGUGUUUAAAUUGAAAUUCAACUAUUUGAGAUCAGAGGAGAAACUAGAUGGCGUUUAUGUGCGUCUAUGAUAAAUAUUAAGAGUGACAAGUUAAAUUGGUGCUUGUUACGUUUCUACCCUGUUUAGUGUUUCAAAUGAUUUUUCAUCAAAUAUUAACGGUACACUCAAUUGUUGUUUGAAGGUGGAUUAUCACCAGACAUCUUUUGAAUGGUACGCCCACUAUCAGCAGCCUUACAGUGUGCUUCAUAAAUACAUCAACCCCUGAGAUAACAUUAUCGUUGGAAAUUGUGUUUUUGUUCUCCACUUUUAUUAUCCACAUGGAAUUUUCACACUACUUCAUUACCUUCAUGGAAAAUCAGGUGUGAUAUUUUAUCGUUCUGGAAAAAGGAUUAGAAUACUUUUUUUUUUCCAGAAUUUCCAAAACUGGGAAUUGUCCAAAGAUUUGUUAAAGCUGAUAAAUGUCAAAAGGCACGCUCUGAGUAGAAAGGAAACACGGUUUGCCUUACAAUUUUAUCAUCCUGGAAAAAGGAUUCUGGAAAUUGAUGAGUUCUAAUAUACAGCUGGUUUUCAGGUUUAUUUUUACAUGUACCAAAUAGAUCUGCAUUAAUGUUGUUUUGCUUUCACACAAGCAGAUAACAAGUUUAAUAUAUUUACAUUUCAGAAUGAGCUUCCGAUUUGAAGUUGUGAGUGUUUUAUCGAAUUAUGGAUUCCUACUUUGAAAACAAAAUUAUUUGCUUCUACAAAUGGUUUUUGAAGUAUGGUACAUGUGGUAUUAUGUACUCAAUGAUGCAAUCACCAUUGUGUGCUGCAUAAUCUUAUUAUUUUAUGGAAUCAGUUCGUUCAAUUGUAACCUAUUUUUGUAUUCAAAAUAUAGAUCUUCGCGAAGCCUUUAACUAACGUUAUACUAAAAAAUUCUCAUGGGAGGAAGUUCUUUCAGGAUCUGUUAUCGACCAUCUAUGUUAUGCAGUAAUUGGAUCUGCAGUUUAGUUAGAAACUUUAACUUAGAAAUGUGCUCAGCAUAGAAUUUAUAUAAAAAAAGAUAUUUAAUUGGAAAAAGUUCCUGGUUGAGACGAGAUAAAAAAAAUUGUACUGUUUA